Molecule: non-coding RNA, 88 nt
Filed under: Sphingomonas sp.
Lineage: Bacteria; Pseudomonadati; Pseudomonadota; Alphaproteobacteria; Sphingomonadales; Sphingomonadaceae
Also listed under: 1 other name
Description: Glycine sequence
Rfam family: Glycine riboswitch aptamer
About the family: This family represents the bacterial glycine riboswitch.
Source: RNAcentral
UGGACCCACGCGGGAGAGGCCCUUGAAUGGGCCGCCGAAGGAGCAACCGCCCCGGCAAUCUCUCAGGCAAACGGACCGCGUGGGGCCG